CAGGCUCGAAGUCGGAUUGCUUGGGAUCACCAGCUCCACAACCUAGGUGUAGCUGCAAAUCCUCCCUCCGUCUCCUCAUCUGGAAAAUGGGGACAACUGGAGACUGUAUCUCACUGGGUUAUGGUGAGGAUCACAUGGGGCAUGUCUGCAUGAUGCUUGGCACAAUACCAGAUGCACCGUAGAAAACGGAAUAUUGAAGAGAUGGGGAAAUGGUGUGACCUGCAGUUGCCAAUUCAUGAUUUGAUGGCUUCGAGGCUCAGCCUCAGUGCUAUAGUACUGACAAGGAAGCUGAGGUUUGGAGGUUAAGCGACUUGUCGCCUGCUGAUGAGUGAUGACAAUCAGGCUGUCUGCCUCGGGCCACACCCUGAGGCUGCUAGGCAGUGUCUGCUGAGACAAGGCCAAGGCGGGCUGCUCGCUCUGGGCAGACCCACUGGGGGCCUGUGGAGCUGUCUGCAGUCAGCAGAGCUGGUAGUGAGCUCUCUCUCCCCAGCGGGGAAGUCAUCAAGAAAUCUCCCAUUUUCAUCUUCCUGCAGGCACGUCUCCCU
Homo sapiens (human) is the source of this 545-nucleotide long non-coding RNA. RefSeq annotates it as long independently transcribed non-coding RNA 2279. NCBI's taxonomy places the organism in Eukaryota, Metazoa, Chordata, Mammalia, Primates, Hominidae. The transcript has 3 exons. The record is from RefSeq and is a predicted model, not a curated record.